CUGAUAUGACUUUCUUCUGCA
This 21-nucleotide non-coding RNA is filed under the name Arabidopsis thaliana (thale cress). Lineage: Eukaryota; Viridiplantae; Streptophyta; Magnoliopsida; Brassicales; Brassicaceae. The record is from RNAcentral.